Molecule: ribosomal RNA, 255 nt
Filed under: uncultured bacterium
Lineage: Bacteria
Description: partial 16S ribosomal RNA
Rfam family: Bacterial small subunit ribosomal RNA
Source: RNAcentral
UACGUAGGGGGCAAGCGUUGUCCGGAUUUAUUGGGCGUAAAGAGCGUGUAGGCGGCCAUUCAGGUCAGCUGUGAAAACUCGAGGCUCAACCUCGAGACGUUGGUUGAAACCGUAUGGCUAGAGUCCGGAAGAGGAGAGUGGAAUUCCCGGUGUAGAGGUGAAAUUCGUAGAUAUCGGGGAGGAACACCGGUGGCGAAGGCGGCGAUCUGGGUCGAUACUGACGCUGAGGUGCGAAGGCGUGGGGGAGCAAACAGG